UGAAGAUUAGUUAAUUAAUAACGUAAGCCUGUCCAGCUUAAGUAAUUCUUUUUAGAAUAUUUUCAG
RNAcentral lists this transfer RNA (66 nucleotides) under Belzebub intermedius. RNAcentral describes it as "tRNA-Asp". Lineage: Eukaryota; Metazoa; Arthropoda; Malacostraca; Decapoda; Luciferidae. The record is from RNAcentral.